CAGGUUGUCCACAUUGUAUUUCAAAAUAUCAAAUCCAUCUGAUGGAUUAUCCUGGCCAAGAUUUUGUUAAAUUGAAAUACAGCGACUCAUUCUUCUCCAACUCUUGGAGUGGUCAAUCCCAUCUUGAUCACACUUCGACUUCGCAAGUACAUGACUGUAUCCAGAAGCCUUCCAUCACUGAAUUAGAAAUUCAAUUAGUCCAGUACCAAAGCACAGUGAGUUGCUUGCAAGUCACUGAGGCGAUCUC
This 247-nucleotide long non-coding RNA is filed under the name Elaeis guineensis (African oil palm). RNAcentral describes it as "long non-coding RNA (EGUI_LNC004058)". Lineage: Eukaryota; Viridiplantae; Streptophyta; Magnoliopsida; Arecales; Arecaceae. The record is from RNAcentral.